Molecule: microRNA, 20 nt
Filed under: Schistosoma mansoni
Lineage: Eukaryota; Metazoa; Platyhelminthes; Trematoda; Strigeidida; Schistosomatidae
Description: sma-miR-8470-3p
Source: miRBase by way of RNAcentral
CUGAGCAUAAGAAUAUUGUU